AUUGAACGCUGGCGGCAGGCCUAACACAUGCAAGUCGAGCGGAUGAAUGGUGCUUGCUCCUGGAUUCAUCGGCGGACGGGUGUGUAAUGCCUAUGAAUCUGCCUUGUAUUGGUGGAUAACGUCCUGAAACGGGCUCUUAUACCGCAUCCGUCCUUUUUUUGAAAUUUGUUGAUCUUCGGUCCUCACGCUUUCAUAUGUUCCUAGUUCGGAUUAGCUAGUUGGUUGGGUAAAGGCCUACCAAGGCUACGAUCCGUAACUGGUCUGAGAGGAUGAUCAGUCACACUGGAAGGGAGACACGGAACAGACAACUACGGGAGGAAGCAGUGGGGAAUAUUGGACAAAGGGCGAAAGGAUGAUAGAGGAAAGCCGCGUGUGUGAAGAAGGACUUAGGAUUGUAAAGCAAUUUAAGUUGGAAGGAAGGGAAGUAAGUUAAUACCUUGCUGUAAUGACGUUACCAAAAGAAUAAGCACCGGCUAACUUCGUG
RNAcentral lists this ribosomal RNA (484 nucleotides) under uncultured bacterium. RNAcentral describes it as "partial 16S ribosomal RNA". It matches the Rfam family "Bacterial small subunit ribosomal RNA", at positions 30 to 507 of the family's 1533-position model. The record is from RNAcentral.